This 254-nucleotide ribosomal RNA is filed under the name uncultured bacterium. Its description in RNAcentral is "partial 16S ribosomal RNA". It matches the Rfam family "Bacterial small subunit ribosomal RNA", at positions 524 to 776 of the family's 1533-position model. The record is from RNAcentral.
GACGGAGGGUGCAAGCGUUGUCCGGAGUUACUGGGCGUAAAGCGCACGCAGGCGGUCUGCUAAGUUUGGAGUGACAGUUGGUGGCUUAACUGCCAAAGUGCUUCGAAAACUGACAGACUUGAGGGCUUCAGAGGGACACGGAAUUCCGGGGUGGAGUGGUGAAAUGCGUUGAGAUCGGAAGGAACGCCCGUGGCGAAAGCGAGGUCCUGGACGCCAGCUGACGCUGAGACGCGAAAGCCAGGGGAGCGAACGGG